UCGAAUGGUAAAACUCUUAUGAUCCUCAUCUUCUACAUAUUCAAAACCUAAUAGCUUCAUCUAAUAAUUCAUCAUUUCUUUUAUGUAUCUUACUAUUUUAUGUGUGCGUUAGGAUUUAUCAUCCGGUUGGAUUAGAUGUCACAAUAUAUUAGUUUUGAUUUUAUUGUUUGAUUAUAUUGUUUGAUUAUAUUGUUUGAAAGUGUUAUAGGAUUGAAGAUUGAAGAACUCGCUUAUGACAUCGGGUUACGAUUAACUUUGCUGCCAAGAAAGAUAUUCAAUGUCUGCUGGUAAACUAUGUUAUCUGCUGAUGUUUUGAAAUGGAUGCUCAAAACGUGAUCAUGUUGAAUGCUCUUGAUGUCAUGUCAAACAAUUAUACCAUUAGGGUGUGAAGAUCGUUUGCCUAUGGAAGAAGACAAACGGUAGUAAGACUGAUGUUUACCGUUUGGACAUGAUGUUAAUGGAUGAAGUGACUUUAUUGGCUAUGUGGAUGUUUUGUUUCAAGCUAUAAGAUACUAACAAAAAGGAUGGAACUAAAGAGAAAAGAUUUAAUCAUUUGCGUGCAAUAUAGAAAACCAAAAGAUGCAUUGGGACAUUUAAAAGAAAAUGAGUUUUGAUGGAUGAACGCUAUAUACAUGUUAAUUCAUCAAUCUCUUUGUAUGAUUUUUAAUUAUAUAUUAAAAUACUAUGUUCAUAUU
Molecule: long non-coding RNA, 695 nt
Filed under: Helianthus annuus (common sunflower)
Lineage: Eukaryota; Viridiplantae; Streptophyta; Magnoliopsida; Asterales; Asteraceae
Description: hypothetical non coding rna
Source: RNAcentral